Molecule: long non-coding RNA, 105 nt
Organism: Etheostoma cragini (Arkansas darter)
Lineage: Eukaryota; Metazoa; Chordata; Actinopteri; Perciformes; Percidae
Exons: 4
Source: RefSeq, a predicted model, not a curated record
ACAGGAGUGAAAACGAUUUAACUGUAUAGUACAAGCAUCAAGGACAACUUUAAAUUAAGGAGCAACACUGAGUUUGUUCUUAGAAGUGUUUGUCGUUUUAGCACG